GAAGACACAUUGUUCCACAGUUACUUAAUGGGGUAAUUGCAUGUAAAUCCAUAACGUUUACACGAAAUUGAUUUUUACUCCUAUUUUUAAAAAUCUGCCUCUAAAUACAUAACCGACGUCGGAAAUGACAUGGUGGCAGCCGGAAUUGUCACGGUGGCAGCUGGAAUUGACACGCUGACACAUUUAGGACAUGUGGAAAAAAAAUUAAAAAAAAUAUCCACAUCAUCAUCUUCCCAAAUCUCUCACACUCCCAAACCCUAACUUCCCCUCCCUCCACCCGCCGGCGCUGCUUGCAGCCACCAUACACCGACGCCGGCUAUCCCCUCCCCCACCCCAGACCCGUCGGCCCUCCCCUUCCCAAGUUCCCG
This 368-nucleotide long non-coding RNA is filed under the name Salvia miltiorrhiza (redroot sage). RNAcentral describes it as "long non-coding RNA (SMIL_LNC010317)". The record is from RNAcentral. Lineage: Eukaryota; Viridiplantae; Streptophyta; Magnoliopsida; Lamiales; Lamiaceae.